This 301-nucleotide ribosomal RNA is filed under the name uncultured bacterium. RNAcentral describes it as "partial 16S ribosomal RNA". It matches the Rfam family "Bacterial small subunit ribosomal RNA", at positions 509 to 807 of the family's 1533-position model. The record is from RNAcentral.
CAGCCGCCACGGUAAUACGAGGGGGGCAAGCGUUGUUCGGAAUUAUUGGGCGUAAAGGGUGCGUAGGCGGUUUGAUAAGUCAUCUGUGAAAUCUCUGGGCUCAACCCAGAGUCUGCAGGCGAAACUGUCGGGCUUGAGUAUGGGAGAGGUGAGUGGAAUUUCCGGUGUAGCGGUGAAAUGCGUAGAUAUCGGAAGGAACACCUGUGGCGAAAGCGGCUCACUGGACCAUAACUGACGCUGAUGCACGAAAGCUAGGGGAGCAAACAGGAUUAGAUACCCGCGUAGUCCCUGUCUCUUAUAC